Prunus avium (sweet cherry) is the source of this 2123-nucleotide non-coding RNA. The record is from RefSeq and is a predicted model, not a curated record. Lineage: Eukaryota; Viridiplantae; Streptophyta; Magnoliopsida; Rosales; Rosaceae.
UGGAAAAUGGUUUUUCUUGGCCAAAAUUAAUAGGAAAUAGUUUAAUAAGAUAUGAAUAAGGGGAAAUGGUAUGUUAGUAAACAAAUAUUUGUAUCAAUUAUCAGCACGAAAUCGUUGUUAAUGUAAAAAUAAUUUUAUUUGCGGGUGUUUUUAGUAAACAAAUAUUUUGUAUCAAUUAUGUGGAGGAAGGAGGAAUUUUAUACUUCGAAAAAUCGCUAGACGUCUAGGCUUCUAAGCCUAGGUUUUCUUCAAAGUCAGAAAAAAGGGCAAAAAAAAGGACCCGACGCCUAGGCGGGCGCCUAGGCCCAUUUUUCGAACAUUUCAUUUAUAUAUAUAUAUAUUUGAAAAUUAGCGAUAAUUCCGUUCUCUUUUUAUCUUAUCCAACCCCUGAAAAUCCACCAAACUUGCGCCGAUAUAGCAGAUACUUUGAUUUUUCUCCUCCCCGUUACACUCACAGUUGACAAACUCAAAGAGCUUCUCAGGCGAAGCAAUGGCGGUGCCUCUCUUCAACCUCGCCCCCAAUCUUACAGUUUCAAAGCUGUGCUUUGGGACGAUGACUUUCGGCGAGCAAAACACGUUUCCGGAGUCCUUUGGCCUCCUCGACCAAGCUUUCCAGGCCGGCAUCAAUUUCUUCGACUCUGCAGAAAUGUAUCCAGUGGUUCAGCGAGCCCAGACUCAGGGUAGGAGCGAGGAGUACCUUGGCCGUUGGAUUAGAGAGCGCAGAGUUCCUCGAAACAGUGUCGUUUUGGCCACCAAGGUUACGGGACCGUCUGGGCAGAUGAAAACACUUGGAUACGAGAUGGCCCCAAGUGUUUGAAUGCUAAGAAUAUCACCGAGGCCAUUGACGGCAGCUUAAGGCGAUUGCAGACAGAUUACAUUGAUCUUUAUCAGAUUCAUUGGCCUGAUCGCUAUGUUCCCAUGUUUGGAGAAAUUGAGUAUGAUCCAACCCGACAGUUUUGUUCGAUUCCUAUGGACGAACAACUUGAUGCUCUUGGAAGAGCUGUUGAUUCUGGUAAGAUUAGAUAUGUUGGUCUCAGUAACGAAACACCAUAUGGGGUGAUGAAGUUUGUUCAGGUAGCUGAAAGGGGUACUCGCCAUCCAAAGAUUGUCUCUGUGCAGAACUCAUACAGCUUGCUCAGUCGAACUUUUGAUUCUGGGUUGGCUGAAUGCUGUCAUCAUGAGAGGAUCAGUUUAUUAGCUUACAGCCCCCUUGCAAUGGGUAUACUCUCUGGGAAGUAUUUUUUGGCUGAUGGGGGUCCUGCGGAUGCUCGGCUGAAUCUUUUUAGAGGUAAAUAUUCGGAAGGGGAAUCCAGAUACAACCUGUCUGAUCACAUCAUAAGAGCAGCAGCCAUGGAAUACAUUGAUAUUGCAGGGAAGUACAGUGUUCACCCAGUAUCUCUUGCAAUAGCUUUUGUUUUGAGCCACCCCCUUGUUGCGAGUGUUGUGUUUGGAGCAACGAAGUCAUGGCAACUGCAGGAGGUUCUAGAUGGAUGCAAGGUCGAGCUGACACCUGAAGUAAUUACAGAAAUCAACAAGAUUCAUGAAAGGUUUCCUAAUCCAUGUCCCUGAUCAAAAUUCAUGCUAAUUCUAUUUCUUCCUCGUUUGAAAUAUUGUCAGAAUGUCUGAAAUAGAUUCGCAUCUCAUCUCUGGUAUAUAUUAUUUGUAAAUUCGUUGAAUUGAUAGUUAAUGAUGAUGGAUAUUGGUCUAGAAAGUUGCUCAGAAUCUUGUAGGAUUUUUGUCUUCUAGAAAUGAUGGUGAUUCCUCCUUCCAAGCAUCCUGUAACUUAAAUGCGCUUCUCAUGCCAAAAAGUGGGGCCUCUUCUACAUUCUUUCUGCCAAAUUUCCUUCAAUUUUGGGGCCAUUCCGGUCUUUUGUCGUGACGGGCAUUGACUGCUGUGAACAAUGUAGCUCAGCAUUGUGUUGUUAUUAGCUUUUGAGCUACUUGUUGCAGAAUGUUGAACAAGAACCCGGCGUGGAAAAAAAAGUCUUGGUAAAAAGUCUUUACGUUGUUACAUACGUUAUACAUAAAUACAUGUAUGGGCGGAUAUCUAGAAGACCAAAAUGUACCCAAUUUUUUUAUUAAUUUUUUUUUAUUUUAUGAAAUGUACCCAAAAUUUGGCUUAA